This 63-nucleotide transfer RNA is filed under the name Graffilla buccinicola. RNAcentral describes it as "tRNA-Tyr". Lineage: Eukaryota; Metazoa; Platyhelminthes; Rhabdocoela; Graffillidae. The record is from RNAcentral.
GGUGAGUAGGUUUAAUAAAACUAGUGGGUUGUAAACCCGAAGAUGGGUUUUAUCCUCUUACCA